Molecule: long non-coding RNA, 5010 nt
Organism: Cottoperca gobio
Lineage: Eukaryota; Metazoa; Chordata; Actinopteri; Perciformes; Bovichtidae
Source: Ensembl
GUCUGAAAGUCUGUGAAACCACUUGUUCAAGAUCAAUUGGCACUUACGUGUAUGGAUAAAAACUAAUUUGAAGGAUUUUUUUCUCUUCAAGACAUGAUCAAACAAGAUCUUUAGGACUGAAGGAUUGAUGCGCAAAAAGGGCCUGAUUCCGCUUUUACCUUUCAGCAUUGCAACAUGGCACACAUCUCUACCAUAUUUUUAGUCUGUGUAACAGCUUUACUCAGUGGAGCUGCGAGCGUAUCUGAGAUGUGCCGGGGGACGCGCUGUUUCUCUGGCCAGGACUGGAGCAGACCGUGCGUUGGAGCGCACUGCCAGGGGCGCGCGGAGGCAGUGGCGCCCCGACGACAGAUUCACCACUCUGCACAAUCCAGACAAGGACAAGUGUACCCGAGUUAUCAACAGGAUGCUCGUUUCAGUCAUCACCAAGCCCAGAGCGCGCCGUUAGCUCCGUACACCAUCAUCCAACCUCAGCAGGGAGGCUUUAAGCAACUAGCGGGGACUGAUGGCACUAGGAGGACGAACCCGAGAACCAUUACGGCGGAGGUGUUCCAUCCUGGCUGCGCCGGUGGGACCUGUCCGACCACUGUCUCUCAUCGCCCGACCAGCGAUGACGGUGCAACGCGGGAGUGCAAAGGGAUUGGAUGUAAACUUCCCCUACGGAUGCGCCAGAAGCCCAAGCCUUGCGUCGGAGAAGGUUGCGGUACGCAUGGAGGAGACGACGGAAGAGGACACUCGUCACCGGUACAUGUGACAGACAGAGCAGCGCAAUUUCUAGAUGAACUUCCAGACGUUGGGUCGGAACGUGGUGCAUGGAUACAGUUGACAUGUGACAUGAAACCAGGCAACAAUGAGCUUCCCUCGGAGGAUGCUCUUGUGCUGCAGCUGCAGCUGUCUAAAAGCCAGGAGAAGCUGGUUGAGGCCCUCAGGGGCCAGCAGGACGAGGUCAGGGAGCUGCAAAGGCUCCUCAGUGAGCAGCAGGGGACGCUGGUCAACCAGCAGAGAGAAAUACUGGAACAACAGAGGAGGAUGUACGAACAGAUGGAGCAAGUUAAAGCCCAGUACAGCAUAAUGAUGGACAGCAUCAAACAAACAUCUUUCCAGAACCUCCAGGGGGAGCUCGACAGUCAGAUGGAAACCAUGAGCGGGCAGGUUAGAGCCCACCAAGCACAGCAGGCUCUCUCUCUGCAUAAGGUGGACAUGGAGGCAAGCGUGAUGGAGGUGGGGCGCUCCCUGAUGGCCUGUGAGAGCUGCGGUCCUGAGGAGUACUGCAGCUUCAGCAGCGGUCAUCCUCGCUGUGAAAAAUGUACCGUCUGUCCUGCCGGGUUCUUCCUGGUUGCACAGUGUUCAGUCCAUGCAGACAGAAUCUGCCAGGACAGAGAUGAAUGCCUUGAAUUAUCUGAUCUGUGUGGAGAUCCACAGAAUUGUCUCAAUACUCCAGGUGGAUUCAGGUGCCAGAGCAUGACAGAGCGAGACGGUAACUCAGGAAUGUGUGGCCAUGGCUACUUUUUCAACUCGGACAUGGAUGAGUGUCAGGCCUGCAAUGAGUGUGAUGGAGAGCCCGUGGCUUCUCCUUGUACCUUCACUACUGACGCCAUCUGCUCUGGCCCUGCUCCGGCUAGUGACAGUGCGCUCUCUUUGUCCUGGUCCGGAGAUGUGAGUCUGCCUGGCGCAAAAGACAACAUACUGGCUCACGCCUUCCCUAGCGUCCAGCUUCAAAUUCAGGGAAGAGGCGACGCAGGCCUGCUGUCUGCUGAGGAAGGUCGGCUGGUGCUCAGGCAGCAUGGUCUGGUUUGGCUGGAUGAGAAUCUCUCGGUGAGCCAUGGCUGCCGUAGCUUCAUCCAGUUGUGCCUGCGUAUGAACAACACAGAUGGCUCUGAAGGUCGUGACCUCAGUGGCGUAAGGAUCGAGCAGCGGGAGGAAAGGUCGCUCCAGAGCGUCAGCAUCAGUGGGGUAGCAGAAGUCGCCCCAGGUAACAUGAUCUCCAUCUUCCUCCGGAGCACCAGCAAUCACUGUAACCAAAGCAGUGAAGGUCUGCAAAUGUACGACUCUUUAGCAGCUCCACUCAGUCUAUUCUGGCUCUCGCAUGACACCGGGGCUGUUGCCAUGACAGCACAGGCCAUGGUCUCCGCACACUACCAUACAAACUAUCGCCCGGUUUUUCGCACCACCUCCACCUCUGACCCUUACGUAGUGGGGCUGACUCAUGAUGGCCGUGGGAUCCGUUUUGCAGAAAGUGGCACCAUACGUUUUGUAUUUCAGCAGGCGUUGUACUCCAUGGGCCAGGCGUGUGUAAGUGAGGGCUUCCAACUGUUGGCGUACCUCAACCAUAAUGGAACCGGCUUGGAGCUUUGCCGUUCCUUCAAACCAGGCGUCCACUAUCGAGACACAUCCUUAACUCUGUCUGGAGCGGCUAAAGUUGGCUCUGGGGACACACUGGCCUUUGAGAUCCUCUCUCCUGCCCAGUGCAACGUACGUUUCUUUGGAGACGAGACAGGCAUCAGUAUCCUCAGCUUGGUUUGGGUCCCCGCUGCUCUGUCUUCCUCUCUUUCUGCGUCCGUGUCUCACACCGGCCUACCCUCAGGAGCAAUCCGAAACAAGCCACUGUUCUUCCGCCAGACCAGCGCUCAGGUGACUCAGAUGGGGCUGCUGGGGAAGGGAUCCACAGAUCAGAGGCGAGAUUUUGUCUUCAGGGAGAGCGGCACAGCCAGUGUGGCUUUGGAUCUCAAACUCAUUCACUCCUGCAACCUGGUCAAGGUGACUCUUCUAAGACGAAAUGAUCCGCAGGGGUCAGGAGGAGGCCGGGAGGCAGAGGGAGCGCGACCCGUCCCUCUGGCCCAACAGGUGGGUGGUCAGAUGCCGGAGGGAAGCCAUUGGGCCAGUGUUAGCCUGCGGGCGUCCUUCCAGGUUCAUAACGGUACAGCGGUGUUCUUCACACUGGACUGUGUACGCGGACGAGUCAACCAGAUCAGCUACCAAACAGGGAGUGGAGUGUCAAUCCUCUGGGUGGCAGCAUAACAUAAGACAGACAAAAUGUAACCAUUUGUAUGGUUUCCAGUUCAGUAGAUGAUAAGCCAUUUAUAUGAUGGUCGAGUUUGAUUGGUUUGAUCUUAGAGGAAUAGGUAGACAUUUUGGGAAAGAGUCUUAUUUGCUUUCUUGCCACGAGAGUAUUGAUACCACUCUCAUAUCUGUCUGUUAAAUGUAAUAUGCAAUGCUAAAGCCAGAAGUAAGCUUAUCUUAGCAUAUAGGGGUGCACAGCUAGUCUGGCUCCCUCAUAUGGUAACAACAUACUGUAUGUCUAUUAGUACAAUUACAAUCUUGGAACUCACCGGCUUUUGGUCUGACGCGAAUAAGCCUCUGGUGGAAAGGCACUAUAUUUCUGGGAUUCCGGUGUAGCCCGCAGUUAUCUCAGCCUUUCUUUUUCCCUACGGUGCUCAUUGUUUACAUUCGGAAUAGCAACUUGAGAUGCGAGACUGGAGUUGAGCGAGAAGACGUGUAAAACCGGAUUGUUUCACAAGUAGCCAGUUUAACAAGAUAACUUUAAACUAAUAAAAAGCGAAAUCGUCUGAUUUGGUCUUUACACGGACUGUCCAUCUGUAUUUAGGGCUGGAUGAAAUGGCCAAAAACUUCUAUCGUGAUAAAGGUCCUUUCAUAUCUCUAUAAUGAUAUAUAUCAGGAUUUAGCAUGCUUUCUGGUAAUUCCAUAAAUAAAAAGUCUAUGUGAAAUAACCUCAAGGUAAAGCCUAUUUUCGUAUACUUCUUUUCUUAAUCAAGCACUUUCCAAAUAAAAAGUAUUAAGUAUUCUCAUUUCAAGAACUUAAAUGCAAAAUUAACAUUAAGUUUAUUUUUUUAUUAUUUCUAUAUGUACACUGUUUGUUAAUCGCAUUGAACUGAAUGGUAAUGGAUGUGUGAUGUAAAAACAAAAUCACAUUCUCUCAAAAUAUUUCAUGUUUCUGAGAAAUGUCAGUUUGUACGUGUUCAUCCUGAUACAACUCCAUUGAUAGAUGAUACAUGAUGAUAUUCAAUUCUUGCCCAAGCCUACCUGUAUUCAACCAACGCUGGCUCGAACAUAUGAAUGCAGAAUCUUUUUUAUAGAGAUAAGCACAUGAAAAACUCAUCAAUUAAAACGUUAUAUAUUGCUUGUACUUAAAAGUGAAAAUGCAAGAAAUUGUGGUUUCAUGCCAGGCUAGUUUCUUCCCCUUGUGCUAAGCUAAGCUAACGGUCUCCUGGCUGCAGCUUCAUGUUUAAUGAACAGAUAUGAGUGGUAUCUAUGUUCUUAUUUAACUCUCAUAAAUAAAGUGACUAAGCAUAGGCUAUUGCCCAAACGUUGGACUAUUCCUUUAAGCUGUUUGAUUAUGUAGUGAGUAGCUUACAGCUAUAUUUUUUUAUUUUGUGCUUAAAAAAAGAAAGGAAGCUCAAAUAUGGCUUUUAUUUAAAAAGAAAAAAGUAGCAUUAUGCAUUAAUCAUUGUCUUUGUAUCAAUGCAAGUAUUUGUGUAAUGAUUACUACAGAAGUAAAUUAUGGCUCUAAACAAUUUUACAAGCUUUUUAAUGUUUAGAAAUGACUGUACUGCUGUACUUCUGUCUUUUAUUUAUGUAAUUCAGUUACUCUGACGCCAACGAAUCUUCAGCUCAUUCCCACUGUGACUAGCAUUUUCUGCUGUCACCAAAAGCGGUUAGCUGCUGGAGUGUGUUUUUUAAGAGCAUGUGUUUCAUGUUAGCCGCCAUUUUCUAAUGUGAAUAUCUACUGCAUGCCUUGUUUAAUGACCACUUUCUGCAUAUUAUGGACUUUUAAAGAAUGUCAUGUGUUUCACUUAGGGCCUGUUCACAAUAAACUGUCCUGGUGAGACAGCAUGCUAUCCUAAAUAUUAACAUGUUAAGCUAUAGUUACUGUUUACUCAAACUAAGCUGUAAUAAAGUGUAUAUUUGAUGUUUUAUAUUAAAUCCAAUACAAAUAAAAUUGUUUUGCCGGAUAUCUGGCUGCUGCCUCUGUGUAAGGACCAGGAGGAAGCACUG